RNAcentral lists this long non-coding RNA (439 nucleotides) under Homo sapiens (human). Its description in RNAcentral is "non-protein coding lnc-CASC10-6:1". Lineage: Eukaryota; Metazoa; Chordata; Mammalia; Primates; Hominidae. The record is from RNAcentral.
CAUGAGACACCGUGCCCAGCCAUGUUUUCUCUUUAUAGUAUUUGUUACUUCUACAAGUAUCGGGGCAAGGAAAACAACUUCAUUCUGAGAGCCAGCAAACUGAGAAGAUGGCAGACUAGUGUUCAAAAGAACCAUCUUGGCAGGGUGUGGUGGCUCACAUCUGUAAUCCCAGCACUUUGGGAGGCUGAGGCAGGUGGAUCACUUGUCACGACCUGCUUCAGGAGAGAAGGUUAGAAGGUCAGAGAGAUCUUCUUGCUUCUGCUGAUAGUGAAAAACGGGUUUCAAUUUCCAUUUAAAAUGCUGUAAGAUACACAGCUUUGAUAAUUAUAUUUUUCUAAUUGUAACAUUUUGAAUUUCAGUUGCUCCCUUUAACCUCAACCCCUUUUCUAAGGAUGCUAAUACCAUUCAUGAGGGAGAGCCCUCAAGACUUAAUCACGUU